RNAcentral lists this ribosomal RNA (458 nucleotides) under Verticillium longisporum. RNAcentral's name for it is "SSU rRNA". It matches the Rfam family "Bacterial small subunit ribosomal RNA", at positions 410 to 909 of the family's 1533-position model. Lineage: Eukaryota; Fungi; Ascomycota; Sordariomycetes; Glomerellales; Plectosphaerellaceae. The record is from RNAcentral.
GAAAUAUAAGUAAAAUUUAAUUGAUUUAUCGAAUAAAAUUUUAAAUACAUUGAUAUAAUGACGAUAUGUAUAUUACGGUCUUGACAAAAUACGUGCCAGCAGUCGCGGUAAUACGUAUGAGACUUGCGUUAUUCAUCUUAAAUAGGUUUAAAGGGUACUCAAACGGUCAAAUUAUCCUUUAAUAGGUAAUAUUUGUCUAGAGUUUUAUGUAAGAAGACAGUACUUAGAGUGGAGAGAUUAAAUUCUGUGAUACCUAAGGGACUGGCUUCGGCGUAGGCAGUGUUUUAUGUAAAAACUGACGUUGAAGGACGAAGGCAUAGAUCGCAAACAGGAUUUGACACCCCAGUAGUCUUUGCAGACAAUGAUGAAUGCCGUAGAUUAGUUGAGAAUUUAGUCUAUAAUGAAAAUAAAAGCAUUUCACCUCAAGAGUAAUGUGGCAACGCAGGAACUGAAAUCAC